AGAGCUCGUAGGUGGUUCGAUACGUCGGAUGUGAAAAUCAGGGGCUCAACCCCUGACNUGCAUCCGAUACGGUCGAGCUGGAGUUUGGUAGGGGAGACUGGAAUUCCUGGUGUAGCGGUGGAAUGCGCAGAUAUCAGGAGGAACACCGAUGGCGAAGGCAGGUCUCUGGGCCAAUACUGACACUGAGGAGCGAAAGCGUGGGGAGCGAACAGGAUUAGAUACCCUGGUAGUCCACGCCGUAAACGGUGGGCGCUAGUUGUGCGAACCUUCCACGGUUUGUGCGACGCAGCUAACGCAUUAAGCGCCCCGCCUGGGGAGUACGAUCGCAAGAUUAAAACUCAAAGGAAUUGACGGGGCCCCGCACAAGCAGCGGAGCAUGCGGCUUAAUUCGACGCAACGCGAAGAACCUUACCAAGGCUUGACAUAUACAGGAAUACGGCAGAGAUGUCGUAGCCGCAAGGUCUGUAUACAGGUGGUGCAUGGUUGUCGUCAGCUCGUGUCGUGAGAUGUUGGGUUAAGUCCCGCAACGAGCGCAACCCUCGUUCUGUGUUGCCAGCAUUUAGUUGGGGACUCACAGGAGACUGCCGGGGUUAACUCGGAGGAAGGUGGGGAUGACGUCAAAUCAUCAUGCCCCUUAUGUCUUGGGCUGCACGCAUGCUACAAUGGCUGGUACAAACGGCUGCAAUACCGUAAGGUGGAGCGAAUCCGAGAAAGCCAGUCUCAGUUCGGAUUGGGGUCUGCAACUCGACCCCAUGAAGUCGGAGUUGCUAGUAAUCGUAGAUCAGCAACGCUACGGUGAAUACGUUCCCGGGGCUUGUACACACCGCCCGUCACAUCACGAAAGUCGGUAACACCCAAAGUCAGUGGCCCAACCGUAAGGAGGGAGCUGCCAAAGGUGGGAUCGGUGAUGGGAUGAAGUCG
This 921-nucleotide ribosomal RNA is filed under the name uncultured bacterium. Its description in RNAcentral is "bacterial SSU rRNA". It matches the Rfam family "Bacterial small subunit ribosomal RNA", at positions 564 to 1488 of the family's 1533-position model. The record is from RNAcentral.